UAAAAGCUAAUGUUAGUCAAAGUUAUCCUUUAUGUGCAUUAUUUAGCAACUUGGCUGAUGUGACAGUUCUUUGCUUUGGCAACUUUAACCACAUGUCUUCAUGUGUUAGCCUACGAAACAUGGUGGGUAUUACAAAGUUGGCUAAUGAAGACAUGCUACGUGUGGAGGAUGAUAAUGAGGACCAGCCACCAGAGAAAGAAGUCCCUGUUUGACCAAAGAGAAAGAAGCAGAUGAAAUAUUCCUAAAGAAAAUUAGUGACCACCAUAAAUUGAGUCAUCACCGACUAUGAGAAUGUCCAGAAGAGAUUCACCAAGUUUGAAUUCAU
Poecilia latipinna (sailfin molly) is the source of this 325-nucleotide long non-coding RNA. RefSeq lists it as uncharacterized. The transcript is spliced from 2 exons. NCBI's taxonomy places the organism in Eukaryota, Metazoa, Chordata, Actinopteri, Cyprinodontiformes, Poeciliidae. The record is from RefSeq and is a predicted model, not a curated record.